This is a long non-coding RNA of Ornithodoros turicata, 386 nucleotides long. RefSeq lists it as uncharacterized. The transcript is spliced from 2 exons. The record is from RefSeq and is a predicted model, not a curated record. Lineage: Eukaryota; Metazoa; Arthropoda; Arachnida; Ixodida; Argasidae.
UCUUCAGCUAUACUUCAGCGACGAAGAUGACGAUGACGAUUGUGGCACAUUCAUUGGCUCGUCAUUGGGAAAUAUUGCAGUGCAUCACGCUUGGAGUGGCGGAUCUCGCUGCCAGAUUUCUUGAGGGAUGUGCGUUCUACGAGAACCCUGUGGAAGGAGAUCACAUUAGGGGAACAUAGCUUGCCGAUAGGGGGAUGCUCUGUCAUCGAGUACUUUCUUGAUUUCAGCAAAUUCCAGUACUGCACGUGGAACAAGCUACGCUGUUCACCAGCUCUUUGCUCAGAAGCUCGUAGAACGCAAGACCUGCCCGUUAAGAGGACGAAAGGAAACACAACGACGACAGCAUCACUGCGAAAAUCGUACAAUAAACGCAUGGCGCCUUCUCA